CCUACGGGAGGCAGCAGUGGGGAAUCUUGCACAAUGGGGGGAACCCUGAUGCAGCAACGCCGCGUGGGUGAAGAAGUACUUCGGUAUGUAAAGCCCUGUCAGCAGGGAAGAAAAUGACGGUACCUGACCAAGAAGCACCCGAUAACUACGUGCCAGCAGCCGCGGUAAGACGUAGGGGGAAAGCGUUCUCCGGAUUUACUGGGGGUAAAGGGAGCGUAGACGGCAAGGCAAGUCUGGAGUGAAAGCCCGUGGCUCAACCACGGGACUGCUUUGGAAACUGUGUUGCUGGAGUGCAGGAGGGGAAAGCGGAAUUCCUAGUGUAGCGGUGAAAUGCGUAGAUAUUAGGAGGAACACCGGUGGCGAAGGCGGCUUACUGGACUGUAACUGACGUUGAGGCUCGAAGGCGUGGGGAGCAAACAGGAUUAGAUACCCCUGUAGUC
This 440-nucleotide ribosomal RNA is filed under the name uncultured bacterium. RNAcentral describes it as "partial 16S ribosomal RNA". It matches the Rfam family "Bacterial small subunit ribosomal RNA", at positions 338 to 795 of the family's 1533-position model. The record is from RNAcentral.